RNAcentral lists this RNase P RNA (373 nucleotides) under Bacteroidaceae bacterium. RNAcentral's name for it is "RNase P RNA component class A". It matches the Rfam family "Bacterial RNase P class A", at positions 81 to 367 of the family's 367-position model. From Rfam's summary of the family: Ribonuclease P (RNase P) is a ubiquitous endoribonuclease, found in archaea, bacteria and eukarya as well as chloroplasts and mitochondria. Its best characterised activity is the generation of mature 5'-ends of tRNAs by cleaving the 5'-leader elements of precursor-tRNAs. Cellular RNase Ps are ribonucleoproteins. Lineage: Bacteria; Pseudomonadati; Bacteroidota; Bacteroidia; Bacteroidales; Bacteroidaceae. The record is from RNAcentral.
AAGGCGAUGCAGACGCACACAUUCAGCAUUACUCAGCCGAUACAACUCCCAAUCUCCAAGUGCUUGAGCUGCAAUGGCUUGUUCAUUGUAAAGCACUGAGGCUGACAGAAAGUGCUUCAGAAAAUAACCGCCCCAAAAGGGUAAGGGUGAAAAGGCAGGGUAAGAGCCUACCGCGUCUCUGGUAACAGAAACGGCAUAAGUAAACCUCAUCAGGAGCAAAACCAUGCAGCGGUUUGUCAUCCGGACUUACACCGCGGGUAGAUCGCUGGAGGCGGCGGGUAACUGCCGUUGCGGAUAGAUGGCCAAGCGAGACUGAGUGUGGCAACACAUUCUUUCUGCGUACCAGAACCCGGCUUACUGUAUCCUUUUUUUU